UUACGGCAACAUCAGGUUGAAAAACUGGUUCCUGUAAGAUCACCGGAGUUAAGUAACAUCGACCCUGGUCAGUACUUAAAUGGAUGACCGCUUGGGAAUACUAGAUACUGCAA
Molecule: non-coding RNA, 113 nt
Organism: Acanthosepion pharaonis
Lineage: Eukaryota; Metazoa; Mollusca; Cephalopoda; Sepiida; Sepiidae
Source: the annotation of a GenBank genome assembly